RNAcentral lists this transfer RNA (73 nucleotides) under Hordeum vulgare. Its description in RNAcentral is "tRNA-OTHER". The record is from RNAcentral. Lineage: Eukaryota; Viridiplantae; Streptophyta; Magnoliopsida; Poales; Poaceae.
AGAUGCGUAGCCCAGUGGUGAGUUGUUGUGUUGUGUACAGUGAGGUCGUGGGUUCGAAUCCCCGCCUCGCCUA